CGAACGCUGGCGGCGUGCUUACCACAUGCACGUCGACCGAAAAGAGGGAAAGAGCUUGCUCUUUCCGGAAUUGAGUGGCAAACGGGUGAGUAACACGUAAACAACCUGCCUUCAGGAUGGGGACAACAGACGGAAACGACUGCUAAUACCGAAUAAGUUCCAAGGGCCGCAUGGCCCAUGGAAGAAAAGGUGGCCUCUACCUGUAAGCUAUCGCCUGAAGAGGGGUUUGCGUCUGAUUAGCUGGUUGGAGGGGUAACGGCCCACCAAGGCGACGAUCAGUAGCCGGUCUGAGAGGAUGAACGGCCACACUGGAAUUGAGACACGGUCCAGACUCCUACGGGAGGCAGCAGUGGGGAAUCUUCCGCAAUGGGCGAAAGCCUGACGGAGCAACGCCGCGUGAGUGAUGACGGCCUUCGGGUUGUAAAACUCUGUGAUCCGGGACGAAAAGGCAGAGUGCGAAGAACAAACUGCAUUGACGGUACCGGAAAAGCAAGCCACGGCUAACUACGUG
Molecule: ribosomal RNA, 511 nt
Filed under: uncultured bacterium
Lineage: Bacteria
Description: partial 16S ribosomal RNA
Rfam family: Bacterial small subunit ribosomal RNA
Source: RNAcentral